Molecule: ribosomal RNA, 866 nt
Filed under: uncultured Methanosaeta sp.
Lineage: Archaea; Methanobacteriati; Methanobacteriota; Methanomicrobia; Methanotrichales; Methanotrichaceae
Description: bacterial SSU rRNA
Rfam family: Archaeal small subunit ribosomal RNA
Source: RNAcentral
UUCCGGUUGAUCCCGCCAGAGGUUACUGCUAUCGAGGUUCGACUAAGCCAUGCGAGUCGAAUGUAGCAAUACAUGGCGUACUGCUCAGUAACACGUGGACAACCUACCCUUAGGAUGGGGAUAAACCCGGGAAACUGGGUAUAAUACCCAAUAGAUCUGGUCUGCUGGAAUGCUUCCAGAUUUAAAACUCCGGUGCCUAAGGAUGGGUCUGCGGCCUAUCAGGUUGUAGUGGGUGUAGUGUACCUACUAGCCUACGACGGGUACGGGUUGUGAGAGCAAGAGCCCGGAGAUGGAUUCUGAGACACGAAUCCAGGCCCUACGGGGUGCAGCAGGCGCGAAAACUUUACAAUGCCGGCAACGGCGAUAAGGGGACCUCGAGUGCCAGGUUACAAAUCUGGCUGUCGCGAUGCCUAAAAAGCAUUGCAUAGCAAGGGCCGGGCAAGACCGGUGCCAGCCGCCGCGGUAACACCGGCGGCUCGAGUGGUAACCGUUAUUAUUGGGUCUAAAGGGUCUGUAGCCGGCCGGGUAAGUCUCUUGGGAAAUCCAGCAGCUCAACUGUUGGGCUUUCAGGAGAUACUGCCUGGCUCGAGGCCGGGAGAGGUGAGAGGUACUUCAAGGGUAGGGGUGAAAUCUUGUAAUCCUUGAAGGACCACCAGUGGCGAAGGCGUCUCACCAGAACGGACCUGACGGCAAGGGACGAAAGCUAGGGGCACGAACCGGAUUAGAUACCCGGGUAGUCCUAGCCGUAAACGAUACUCGCUAGGUGUCGGCCACGGUGCGACCGUGGUCGGUGCCGUAGGGAAGCCGUGAAGCGAGCCACCUGGGAAGUACGGCCGCAAGGCUGAAACUAAAAGGAAUUGGCGGGA